GACGAACGCUGGCGGCGUGCCUAAUACAUGCAAGUUGAGCGCUGAAGGUUGGUACUUGUACCAACUGGAUGAGCAGCGAACGGGUGAGUAACGCGUGGGGAAUCUGCCUUUGAGCGGGGGACAACAUUUGGAAACGAAUGCUAAUACCGCAUAAAAACUUUAAACACAAGUUUUAAGUUUGAAAGAUGCAAUUGCAUCACUCAAAGAUGAUCCCGCGUUGUAUUAGCUAGUUGGUGAGGUAAAGGCUCACCUAGGCGAUGAUACAUAGCCGACCUGAGAGGGUGAUCGGCCACAUUGGGACUGAGACACGGCCCAAACUCCUACGGGAGGCAGCAGUAGGGAAUCUUCGGCAAUGGACGAAAGUCUGACCGAGCAACGCCGCGUGAGUGAAGAAGGUUUUCGGAUCGUAAAACUCUGUUGGUAGAGAAGAACGUUGGUGAGAGUGGAAAGCUCAUCAAGUGACGGUAACUACCCAGAAAGGGACGGCUAACUACGUG
This 497-nucleotide ribosomal RNA is filed under the name uncultured bacterium. RNAcentral describes it as "partial 16S ribosomal RNA". It matches the Rfam family "Bacterial small subunit ribosomal RNA", at positions 28 to 507 of the family's 1533-position model. The record is from RNAcentral.